RNAcentral lists this unclassified non-coding RNA (5769 nucleotides) under Leishmania donovani. RNAcentral describes it as "gene:LdHU3.02.0280(CDS-product:phosphoglycan_beta _13_galactosyltransferase)". The record is from RNAcentral. Lineage: Eukaryota; Euglenozoa; Kinetoplastea; Trypanosomatida; Trypanosomatidae.
CGCUCCCGCGCCUCGCACCUUUUCCUUUUUUUUCGUUCUCCUGCGUUGUUUCGGUGCGCGUGCGCGCAGGCCGACACCGACACCGACACACACACACACACACACACAGACACACCGGCGAAGAGUCGAAUAUUGCAGACAGACGUACGCCGACACAGCGCCGAUCAUCCGAUCACGCGUAUAAGCAGGAGCCUACGCCGACGGCUAUACACGCACAUGUAUAUACUCCCCCUCCUCCUCCUCCUCUUACCUCUCCGUUCGCAUAGACGCGCCCCCUCUUCUUUCUGGUGCGCUGCCCUUCGACGUAGUUCUUGCGCUCACCAUCGCUGUCGAGCGAAUUUGUGCGCGGCUCUUUGGCCUCUCCUCUAUCUUCCAUCUCGGUUUCCUGCGCACCAGCGUCCGGGGCGGGCCGCGGCACACCUCCACACACACACACACACACACACACACCACGACCACGACCACGACGACGACCAUCUUCUUUUCUGCCUCUACAUUACCACCCGCGCUUCAGCCACGCACAAGGAAACCAUAGGGUCUCCUUUUCAGCCCCACUCAGGUGCGUUGCUUCUCUUUCUUGCUCAACGGGCGCACGGCCAUCAAGGCAGGUCGCGAGAUCGACAGGUCCGACCCACCUCCCUGCGCACGCUCACAUCCGCAGACAUCACGCGUCACGCGUUGUGCUUCACGGCGCACGGCUUAUGCGCGUUCCCUUCCUCUUUUCUGCCGGCGGUCUCUCUCUCUGUCUGUCGUUGACGGGGCCGAAUAGUGAUCUUGUCUGUUUCUGGACAGCUACGCCACCCUCUCCAUCCCCGACCUCUAUCCUCAAUUAUUUUUGUGUGCCCGUUUCCGUGUCUUCUGUCUUUUUUUUUUUGCUAUUUUUCGGCGUGCCGUCGCGCCGCUUGCUCGCCGUGUCGUUCUCUCACUCUCUGCGAACACUUGUGGGCACGGCGCACGUAUCUGCAUGCGUGCUGAGCGCUUCGGGUUCUUGUGCUGGUUGCCCUCCCCUCCCCCUUCCCACACACAUACACACCCACAAACACACACACACACAGGCACAUCCAUCUUAUGGAUGCCUGGCCCAUCAAGGGGUCUCUAGCCGCUUAUCCGCAUCCAGCACCAACAGACAAGAGAACGCGCGUUGCAGCACCUGACGUUGAACUCUCUCUUCCUUUCUUGCGUUUCGGGCACUCUUUUCCCCUUCUGCGCUCACCCGCACGCAUCGUUGUGGGCCGCCGCCCUUCAUCCGGCAGAGGAGCUGUUUGACCUCCGCCUCCCUUCCCCCCUUGCCGAGGCGGGCGACACUCCCGUCUUCUUUCAUCUUUUCGUGUGUGUGUGUGUGCCUGCGCGCACCCGACACACAUCCCACCACGCUUGUAUUGUUUUGCUUUACUUCUUGUUCACGUCUCUGCGCCCUGUUGGCUCGCUGUCGUUGUCGGUUCUUCGACUUUGUGGGUGCUGCUGCGGUUGCUGUUUUCGUUUUCAAGCACGAGCCACCGACGCACCACCUCCGCCACCUCACCUCAGAAGCGCUCGCACGCGCCGACUCUGUCUAUCUGUCCGACAGGCUGCCCUAUCCGCUGAUCAAACAGCAUAUACUUUCGCGGUGGACAUCAGGGGCGCACCGAGUGCGCGCGCGCGAGAACGGGGAGAGAGCGAGAGAGAGAGACCCCGAGAGAAAGAGAGGCAGGAGGGAGAGAGGGGGGCCGUGUGUGUGUGCAGCAUGGAAGAGGAGUUCGCCAGUAGCGCUGCCAAACGACGCGGCAACGCCGGCGUCGGUGCUGGUUAUGUACCGCUGCAUAGUAGCACCUUCCAGCACCUGACGGCACCUCUUAUGCGCAAUGACGGGUGCGCUGGAGAACGCACGAAGCUGCAGCACGAAUUUUCGAACGACACAAACGAGUAUGCCUUCAGCAACUCGUCCACGUCGCCGCCGCUCUUUACGGGGCGUGCAUGGGCGCUCCGUUCGCCCGAGCAGCGCGCACACGCGUCAGCGACCUCGGACCCGAACUUGCCGCACCCGAAGUGCCCGGCUAUCAGCGGCGGCACAGCUAAAACGCGGCAUCGACAAUUUUUUUUGCAUGCGGGUAAUCGCCGCCCUCUGCGGCUUGCAAUGGCGAUGGUCGUCGCCGCCUGCAUCCUUCUCUCGUCACUCACCGUGCUGCUAUUCCGCGAUUCUGAUCUCCCAUUAAAGCCGCGGCGUGUCUUGAACAUCACCACACUGCAGCCGAUAGAAGAGCUGAGAGGCUGGGCUCAAGAAACUGGCGUCUUGGUGCAGCAUGAGGGCGCCCUGACGCGGCUCGACCUCACUGCUGCUCAGCGAGCCUGCAUCGUGGCCGGCGCUCCGUAUGCCGCCUGCGAGCUGGUCCGCCUCAGCGCCAAAGAGCUGCCCUCGUGGACACUGCACGUUGUGAAAAAGAAGUGCCACGACUGCAUGGACACAUACACUUACCGCACCACUGUGAAAGCCGUGCAACUGCACAAGCGCCAUGGCGUGUACGCGACGUCGUCUGCACCGCUGGGCCGCGUCGGGCCGAUGCUGCUGGCGAUGACGAGCGUGACGGACGACGUGAAUGUGCGCACGGAGCUGCCGCAGUGGGAGUGGCUGCGGCACGUGUACGGUGAAGGGUUUCCGACCGUGGGUGGCGCUGGCGAGGGGGCUGCGCAGCCGCGGACACCGUAUCUUGCCGUGAUGGGCAUCCCGUCGACGGAUCAGCCGGCGCGUGCUGCGCUGCGUGAGGCACAGCGCAGGACAUGGCUGACGUACCAGGAGGUGGCGCGCACGGAGAACCACUUCGAUGCCGCGCUGCUGGCGCUGUACGUCUUCGCCGCGGUGGAGCCCAAGGUGGCCCCGAAUGCAUCAGAGAGCUCUUCAGCAUCCGCGCGCAACGGCACGUCAGCUGCCGAGCCGAGGCGAGGGCGCCUGAGUGCGCUGCUGCCGACGACGGCGGAGUACAAGGCUGCCACCGAGGCGCUUCUGGCGGCGACUGCGCAGGCCGAGGGCAUUGACGACUUGGCCGACGAGGGCAUUGUGCAGCGCCGGAUGGAGCUCCGCCGCGACUGGAACAUCGCUGCCGUCGAGGACACACCGUGUGCGGAGGUGGUCAGCCGCCGCGUGACUGUCGGCACGGAGACGUCUGCGCUGUCGUACCUGAGCGGCGCCCUGUCGCUCCCCGUGACACCCGCGUUCACGUCGCCGGCGGAGUACGUCUGCCACGCGUCGUCUGCGCUGUGGCAGGAGGCGCUGACGCACCGCAACGUUGUGUGGAUCGACAUGAUGACGGACCGCCGGCCGACCACGAACAAGAAGAUCGGCGAGGACGGCAAGUGGGGCCUUCCCGUGGAGGUGGGAAUGAGCCAGAAGCUGAUCCUGUGGCUGGAGUACGCGUACCACGCCUUCAAGGAUGUGCCGUUCAUCAUCAAGGGCGAUGACGAUGCCUACGUGAAGGUGCCGCAGUUCCUGAGCGAUGUGCGGUACGUGCGCAACGGGGUGAAACGCGGGCGUUUUCCACCGCCGCCGCCACGGCAUCCGGCGAUGACCGGGGCGGGAGGCUCGCCGACCACACAGGCCGCGACGCCGAGGAGAGUCGUGCACAACUACGAUCGGCUGCCAGUGGAUAGAACGAAGUGCUUCUACUGGGGCAGCGGCCGCCGCAUGCUGGGCGUUCGCUUCAAUGCGGGCAUGCUGUUCAUGCUGCACCGCCGCCUCGCACAGGUUAUACUGGAGCCGCCACAAAGCAGCUCCGACGCCGAUCUGCGCAUGCUGGCGGUGGCAGACUACUCCAACGAUCGGAGGUCGCUGUACCGUCAAGCGGGUCUGCAUCACGAAGACGUGAUGAUCGGCGUGACACUCCGGAAUCGAUAUAAUCGCUCGAUGGAGCUGUGCGAUGAUGAGACGAUCUGGUACGUGAAGGAAGGCUACGACCGCUUCCACGACUUGCAUCGCGGGAAGCUGAAUACCGUGACGUGGUCAACCGUCGUAGCACACCGCUGCCGACCAGCCGACGCGUAUUUCUUGCACUACUACUUCCAGAACGAGUACAGCGCCUCCACCGUGGAGAUAGCGCGCGGGGACGAUCGGGAGGAGCUGGCGAUCGAGGCGGCAGCGGAGUGGGUGGCAGAGCAGCGUAACGCGUUUCCUGACAGUGUACCAGGGUGGGACGAUCUGCCGUCGGUGCUGUGGACGCAUGGGGCAUCCGCGGCACCGGAGUAUGUUGUUGCGACCGGUGACGACGUCGCCGUGUACAACUACAGCUACCAGUACUGGAGGGACAGCUCUACCUUUGUUUGGAACGGCUACAGAUCGAGUCGGUGAGACGAGGCGAGGCGCAACCGAACCGAGCGAGGGACAAGCUGCACGGCGGCCACGACGCCAACGUCACCAGGCCGAGGUGGCUGGGACCACUGCACAUGAAGAGCCCUGCGUGUGUGCGUGUGCUUGUCGGACGGUGAGCUUCGCGGGAGGGCCCCACGGAACACGUCGCGCCGCUACCUUGCACGCCGGACACGAGCAUUUUCGCGCGUGAAGCCGUUGAUCAGCAGCGGCAGAACUGCCAUGGCAACGGAGCGGGGCGCCGUCUUGGUGAACGCCGUCUCUCGGAAUGUCUUGCCGGCCCGCUUUGGUGCCGGAGGGUCUCGCCCCUGCUUCGGAUGGCGACCGCUCGGGCUGCGGACUUCGCCCUCUCCAUAUCCGGCAUCCACAGCCGGCCCACCGCAGCUGUACACAUGUAGCUCACACACUUGUGUGUCUGUGUGCUUCGCACGCGGCGGCGAACGGGUGGCGCAGGAGGGAAGCAAGCUGAAGGACGGCACGGCUAGAUGCUGCCUGUAGUGCCGCGCACAUGCUUGUGCAGUUGCGCUUGUAUGACCUCCGUGUAGAAAAGGACGAUAGACAAGAACACCCGAAGCCAUCACUCCCCACCCCCUCCACACCCCCAUCGCUGCGGCGAACAGCAGACGAGCGCGACGACGAGCGGAGCGCGAUAUCCGGCCUCCGUUAUUGUCCCGCCGUGCCCGCAUGCCCGCACCGUUGCUGGCGCGUGCCCCUUCCUCUGCUGCGCACAUUGCGGCUGUGGCACCCCCUCUCCCCCUCACACACGCACAUAUAACACAGAAGGCGUUUCCGGGGGGGUGCGGAGGACACACAUACGCCUCAGGGCGCGGUAUCGCAGGGCCCGGUGCACUCCCCCACCCCCUCCUAUCCCACGCCCAUGCCGAACCGCCUCUCGUCAUGACGGUGCCCGGUGCCUGCGACGUGGCGAGGAUAACGCGAUCCAUCGCAGCAGAUGCCGGCGGUGAGCACGCUUGCGCCAUCCAUAUGAUGGGCAACGCGCCAGCGCGGCCCACACCCGCGGCCCUCGCACGGCCCACUCGUGCGGGGUGCCUGAGCCCCCGCGAUGGGGCGGGGCGGGAUGCACCAGGGGUGGUGACCGGCAUGGUUGGGGAGCGGGUGUGAGGCCGCCCAGCGGAGCGGCUAGGUGGAUGUGUGUGGGCAGCGUUUUGGGGGCGGAGGCGGUGCUCCGCCGACGGCGUCGGGUGCGGGGAGUGGGGAGGGGUGUGAGUCGAGCGGCGUGUGGACCUCGUGUUGUGUGGCGGAGCAACGCCCACUAACGAGCGAAGGAUGCUGCUGCGUGAUGUGGUGCAUGUGUCUGCGUGUAGGACUUCUCUCGCACAUCGCGCCCACCCAAGCAAGGAAAGCAGAACGAAACGCACUGACAGGCAGAGGCGGCCAGACACACGCCUCCGCUCGCAUCGAUGCCUCUGUGUGUG